UUUACCACCACUUCCUAUAAUAGAGCUUGGUGUUCUUAUCUAAGAUUUUGAGUAGAUCUUGUGCUCUAGGAGUUUUGGAUUGAAAUCCUGAUGCCACAUUGGCCUAUUUCCACCUCUAGAGCGAUAUCUAGUGCAACUCGUUGAAGUAGGUCCUUCAACACGUGUUGUACACUUUGUAGCAGCAAGGUUUGUUCCUCCACAACCUUGUGCUGCUUCAGGUGUCAUGUGGAAGGAGGCCCCAGAAUCAAGAAUCUAGAGCAAAGAUGUACCUGACGAAGAGUGUGGUGGUGGAUCAGACGUCUGACCAUCAGAACUAGCAGAACCUAAGGAUGGUGCAGAAGCAGCAAGGCGGCGCAGCAAGGUGAGCAUCUCCUGGUGAACCUUCUGAAGGUAGCCCUCACGAGAAUUAGAGGAGCCUCCUGGGUCCAUACGAGGAUGGCCAACACGGCGACCGUGUCUCUUCCUCUUGAUGCACUCGAUGAUCAUGUGACCAUCCUGUUUGCUAUAGGUGCAGAAAGCACUUGUGGAGGCUGCUGGCACCGGUGUAGGAGAGGGCACACCAUGCAAUAGCGGUGAAGCGUGGGCAGCCAGGACUGCUUAAGAGGACGACAACAAGCCCGUGCUGCGUAAACGUAACUCCUCAGAUCGCACCUCAGCAAGGGCCUCCAGAGAGAGCUGAGGAUGGCGUGCCAACAGCUGAGCACGACUCUGCUCGAACUCCGGUUGGAGGCGAGUGAGGAAUUCGUAGAGGCAACGAACCUCCAGCUUAGCUUGUUGCUGCACACAACACUGACAUCUGUGACAAACAUCAGCUCCCAGAUAGCCCAAUUGGCACCACACAACCGAUAUCUCCUAGUCAUCCACAGUAGCAUCUCCCUAGCAUCUCCCUGCUGUAGUUGUUGCUCUUGACGAACAACAGAGAGAUACAUGCCAUCCCCCGUAGAUUCGUAAUGACGGUGAAGGCGCUCCCACAUCUGAUGGUAAGGGCCACCACAUCCAUGGUGAGAUCAACAUCCAUGCUGUUCACCAAGAUAGAAGAGGCUCGAGCAUCAUCAUUUGUCCAUUGAUUUCACAGGUGAAGUUGAUUAUGAUACUCUUCUCUUCAGUGGCCUCCUCAAAGGCAUCUAGCAUCUCACGUUGAUCGGUAUUACCGUCAUCAACAGGGAAGGCCACCUUAGCCAAAGGAGUGGGCAGCAGAGGACAGGCCAGAGCACCUGUGAGGUGCUCCCAGACCAGCUGGCCCCUCAUGUGCAGCUUGAUGUACUGCACCCAGUCCUUGUAGUUCCGUGCAUCAAAGAUAACAGGACAUCGGGGGACUAGAACAGCACCGGUGGUGGUGGAGGACGCCAUUCUAGCAGGGGCUUCAUGGCGGCAGCAGACCAGGAGGAGAAGAGCAGCAGCAAGGGGCGCAGAGGAUCAAACACCCAGUUUUCUUGUCUGGUGCAGGGCACCACUUCCUUUUGGUCCUGGGAAGCAGCAAGGUGGGGAAGAAGAACCAGGAGGCUGGCGGCGUAGCGAUGGCGGCGCCGGCCGGGAAGGACAGAUAGCAGCGGCAUAGAACGGUGGUGGCUACCAACAGCAGGAUCAGCUCAGGUCUGCCAGGAAGAACAGGGGAGAGGCUUGAUGGAGAGAGGGUGGCGGUUGAGGAACCUAACCCUUGCUCUUAUGCCAUGCUAAGAUGUGAGCUUCUAUUAAACGGGCCAACAUGCCAACUGUACAUAUACAUGCGAAGGAAAUAAGCAAAGAAGCCCCUAUACAAUAUGAUAACUACACACAGCUCAACCCUGUUCUAACAUGUGGAAGUUAGCUAUCCACGUGCCAGAACCAUGACUAGGAUUCAAGAUCUUAUGGGUUUCAACUCUAGCCUACCCCAACUUGUUUGGGACCAAAAGGAUUUGUUCUUUAUCUCAAUACAAACGAGCAUAUACUUGAAGAUGUUACUUCCCUUUGUAUUUGUUGACAAGUUAAUUUUCUUGUUCUUAAAAAAUAAAUACUCGCCACGUUUUAUUCGAUGCGGUCCAUGCUCCAUUUCAUCUCAAGGAGUUAGUUGGCAUAUGCUAAUAUUUGUUAUGAGUAUUGAACUGCUAUGGUAACAAAGCACUGAC
RNAcentral lists this long non-coding RNA (2105 nucleotides) under Triticum aestivum (bread wheat). RNAcentral's name for it is "long non-coding RNA (TAES_LNC017957)". The record is from RNAcentral. Lineage: Eukaryota; Viridiplantae; Streptophyta; Magnoliopsida; Poales; Poaceae.